AAACAUGAGAGUUUGAUCCUGGCUCAGGAUGAACGCUGGCGGCGUGCCUAACACAUGCAAGUCGAACGGAGUUAUUAUUAUGAAGUUUUCGGAUGGAAUGAUAAUAACUUAGUGGCGGACGGGUGAGUAACGCGUGGGUAACCUGCCUCAUACAGGGGGAUAACAGCUGGAAACGGCUGCUAACACCGCAUAAGCAUACAGCAUCGCAUGAUGCAGUGUGAAAAUAU
RNAcentral lists this ribosomal RNA (227 nucleotides) under Mobilitalea sibirica. Its description in RNAcentral is "Bacterial small subunit ribosomal RNA". It matches the Rfam family "Bacterial small subunit ribosomal RNA", at positions 1 to 208 of the family's 1533-position model. The record is from Rfam by way of RNAcentral. Lineage: Bacteria; Bacillati; Bacillota; Clostridia; Lachnospirales; Lachnospiraceae.